RNAcentral lists this unclassified non-coding RNA (305 nucleotides) under fungal sp. Its description in RNAcentral is "partial internal transcribed spacer region". The stretch from base 1 to 46 matches the Rfam family "Eukaryotic small subunit ribosomal RNA", at positions 1786 to 1831 of the family's 1831-position model. The record is from RNAcentral. Lineage: Eukaryota; Fungi.
AAGUCGUAACAAGGUUUCCGUAGGUGAACCUGCGGAAGGAUCAUUAAGGUAGCUCCUUGCCUUUCCUUUCCUCGCGGAAAGGGGAGGCAACUGCCAUCCACCUUUUGUGCACUAGACCACCUGUUCACCUUUGGCAAAAUCGAUGGCUUUCUAUUGAUUGAUCGUCUUUUGCCAAAGGAUUCUAUCUUAUUAUAAACACCCUAGAAAUACCUUAGCCUGAAAAUUAUUAGAGGACGCGGUAUUCCACGUACCACCUCUGAAUUCGAAUAAAAAAACAACUUUUAACAACGGAUCUCUUGGCUCUU